UACGUAGGGGGCUAGCGUUGUCCGGAAUCAUUGGGCGUAAAGAGCGUGUAGGCGGUCCGGUAAGUCCGCUGUGAAAGUCGGGGGCUCAACCCUCGAAUGCCGGUGGAUACUGUCGGGCUAGAGUGCGGAAGAGGCGAGUGGAAUUCCUGGUGUAGCGGUGAAAUGCGCAGAUAUCAGGAGGAACACCUAUUGCGAAGGCAGCUCGCUGGGACGUAACUGACGCUGAGACGCGGAAGCGUGGGGAGCAAACAGG
This 253-nucleotide ribosomal RNA is filed under the name uncultured bacterium. Its description in RNAcentral is "partial 16S ribosomal RNA". It matches the Rfam family "Bacterial small subunit ribosomal RNA", at positions 524 to 776 of the family's 1533-position model. The record is from RNAcentral.